GCGCACGGGUGAGUAACACGUAGAUAAUCUACCUUCAAGCCCGGGAUAACUAUCCGAAAGGAUAGCUAAUACCGGAUGAAGUGGUUUAACACAAGUUAAGUCAUGAAAGAUUGCCUCUUCCUGAAAGCAAUUGUUUGGAGAUGAGUUUGCGGACCAUUAGUUAGUUGGUGGGGUAAAGGCCUACCAAGACAACGAUGGUUAGCUGGUCUGAGAGGAUGAUCAGCCACACUGGAACUGGUACACGGUCCAGACUCC
This 255-nucleotide ribosomal RNA is filed under the name uncultured bacterium. RNAcentral's name for it is "partial 16S ribosomal RNA". It matches the Rfam family "Bacterial small subunit ribosomal RNA", at positions 98 to 339 of the family's 1533-position model. The record is from RNAcentral.